UCUUAUUUUUUCUUCUUCUUCAAUCUUCUUCUUUCUUUCUUUCUUUCAUUCUUCUCUUCUUAUGUUCUCUCUCUCUCUCUCUGCCGUUUUUCAAUUCGAGUGAUUUGAGGCUUGAAAGUGUGUGAGUGAGUCAUAGGGAGUUUAGUAUCUUGAUGAAUCAAAGAAGAAGGUGAUGAUGUUUCUAUCGAUUGAGUUUUGGAAGAAGCAGAAAAGGUUAGUCUUUAUUAACAACGAUCGAUUCAAAGAUUGAACUAGUGGAUUGAGGAUCUCGAGGUAGGCGUGGCUUGUCAUCAAAUCAGUUUUUCAGUAAUAUGAAGGAGUGGAGCGCUCAAAAAUAUCCGUUUCGUAGCUUAGAGUUUUAUGAAAUCUAGAGUUGUUGUGCAUUUUUUUUACUAUAUGUAUUCUUUCUUAUUUUGUAAACAACACAUUUAUAUAUUCUUAGAACUCGAAAUACUUUCAUUUAUAUAAUAUCAGAGAGUUUGGGUUUUGUU
Long non-coding RNA from Papaver somniferum (opium poppy), 491 nucleotides. RefSeq lists it as uncharacterized. The record is from RefSeq and is a predicted model, not a curated record. The transcript is spliced from 3 exons. NCBI's taxonomy places the organism in Eukaryota, Viridiplantae, Streptophyta, Magnoliopsida, Ranunculales, Papaveraceae.